GGAGGGUGCAAGCGUUAUCCGGAUUCACUGGGUUUAAAGGGUGCGUAGGCGGGCGUUUAAGUCAGUGGUGAAAUCCUGCAGCUUAACUGCAGAACUGCCAUUGAUACUAUUCGUCUUGAAUGUCGUGGAGGUUAGCGGAAUAUGUCAUGUAGCGGUGAAAUGCUUAGAUAUGACAUAGAACACCUAUUGCGAAGGCAGCUAACUACGCGAAUAUUGACGCUGAGGCACGAAAGCGUGGGGAUCAAACAGGAUUAGAUACCCUGGUAGUCCACGCCCUAAACGAUGAUUACUCGACAUUGGCGAUACACAGUCAGUGUCUGAGCGAAAGCAUUAAGUAAUCCACCUGGGAAGUACGACCGCAAGGUUGAA
Molecule: ribosomal RNA, 369 nt
Filed under: uncultured bacterium
Lineage: Bacteria
Description: bacterial SSU rRNA
Rfam family: Bacterial small subunit ribosomal RNA
Source: RNAcentral